This 578-nucleotide long non-coding RNA is filed under the name Homo sapiens (human). RNAcentral's name for it is "non-protein coding lnc-FAM174B-2:12". Lineage: Eukaryota; Metazoa; Chordata; Mammalia; Primates; Hominidae. The record is from RNAcentral.
GUGGAAGGAUGAAGGGGAAGCAAGCACGUCUUCACAUGGCAGUAGGCGGGAGAGUGAGUGAAGGGAGAAGUGCUACACACUUUCAAACAACCAGAUCUCAUGAAAACUCACUAUCACAAGAACAGCAAAAGGGAAAUCCACCCAUGAUCUAAUCAUCUCCCACCAGCUCCCUCUCGCAACAUUGGGAAUUACAGUUCAACAUGCGAUUUGGUGGGGACACAGAGCCAAACCAUAUCACACCCCAUUCAAAGCUAUGAGAUUAUAAAAUGGUCCUUCUCCUGUCACUCAGCUGACUGUAAAUUCAUGCUGGCACAUCCACACCACGGCAGACAGGUGAGUGACUCCUAUGUGCUUUGGACAUUUGUGACAAAUAACUUUUCUGUUUCAGAUAUUCCAACUUAAUAAAAAGGUAAUAUACUCAUUAUGUUCCUGUUUCCCAGAAGACACUGCUUGGGAGUUCUGUUCUGUCAUCAACGGAGCUGUGAUGACCGUGGAUGUCACUGGUAGUGGCCAACAUUUCUGCAGCUCCUUCUCAGUUACAUCCUCAACACAAACUCCUCACCAGCAGGUGGCAGAAG